GUGCGUGUGUGUGUUUUCCGUAGACACCUUGCCCAGUCCUAAGCCUCCAAGUUGUCCUCCUUCUGAAUGUGGGUACUGCUGGGUGCUGCUGGUCAGUCUGUGUCCCGUUUGUGUAAUUCUGUGCAUGAUCUCCUCCACCUGUGUGUACUGCCUCACCCGUGAAAAAGAAUCAAUGAACAAGAAGAUUUAUCAGACCUUAAUGGACGAUGGAGAAGACACCACAACCACAUCAGUCAUAUACAGGAAGAUGGAGUAACACACUCCUGAGGAUGCAGACUCGUGAUGGACACUCAAGAAAUGCAACGCCAGACUCAAGAGAAAGACACUUCAAGGUCCAGACAUGAUUACUGAGAUUUAAGGUUGCAUUUAGAAUAACAUACUCCAUGUGUCUGCACAUAGCUUCAUUAAGCUCUCUAGAAGUUGGCCCAUGUUUAAUCUCCUCAUGUUUUCAUAUUCCAGUAUUACAAUUACACACUGGGCCUUUUUUAUCAUUGGUGCCCAAGUGUAUAGAUUGUUCACCUGUCUUUGGGUUAAGGAUGCCUUGCUUUUUGUAUGGACUCUUCACAGCAUUUUCAUUUCUUCAAGUGCUGAAAGCAAUUCAGUGCAUAAUUCUAAUUUCAAGACUGAUAGCAACAUCUAAAGAACCUUUUCAUAGGCCUACUUGUUAACUUGUAUGAAGUGCUUCCAUAACAAUUGUUUUGAUGUAUUUGGUAACCUUGAGCAAUAAAUAACAAGUCAGCCA
Molecule: long non-coding RNA, 742 nt
Organism: Clupea harengus (Atlantic herring)
Lineage: Eukaryota; Metazoa; Chordata; Actinopteri; Clupeiformes; Clupeidae
Exons: 2
Source: RefSeq, a predicted model, not a curated record